CCUACGGGCGGCAGCCGUGAGGAAUAUUGGUCAAUGGACGAGAGUCUGAACCAGCCAAGUAGCGUGAAGGAUGACUGCCCUAUGGGUUGUAAACUUCUUUUAUAUGGGAAUAAAACGUUCCACGUGUGGGAUUUUGUAUGUACCAUAUGAAUAAGGAUCGGCUAACUCCGUGCCAGCAGCCGCGGUAAUACGGAGGAUCCGAGCGUUAUCCGGAUUUAUUGGGUUUAAAGGGAGCGUAGGUGGAUUGUUAAGUCAGUUGUGAAAGUUUGCGGCUCAACCGUAAAAUUGCAGUUGAAACUGGCAGUCUUGAGUACAGUAGAGGUGGGCGGAAUUCGUGGUGUAGCGGUGAAAUGCUUAGAUAUCACGAAGAACUCCGAUUGCGAAGGCAGUUCACUGGACUGCAACUGACACUGAGGCUCGAAAGUGUGGGUAUCAAACAGGAUUAGAUACCCCUGUAGUC
RNAcentral lists this ribosomal RNA (460 nucleotides) under uncultured bacterium. RNAcentral describes it as "partial 16S ribosomal RNA". It matches the Rfam family "Bacterial small subunit ribosomal RNA", at positions 338 to 795 of the family's 1533-position model. The record is from RNAcentral.